This 789-nucleotide ribosomal RNA is filed under the name Kocuria sp. CR212. Its description in RNAcentral is "bacterial SSU rRNA". It matches the Rfam family "Bacterial small subunit ribosomal RNA", at positions 543 to 1332 of the family's 1533-position model. Lineage: Bacteria; Bacillati; Actinomycetota; Actinomycetes; Micrococcales; Micrococcaceae. The record is from RNAcentral.
UGUCGGAUUAUUGGGCGUAAGAGCUCGUAGGCGGUUUGUCGCGUCUGCUGUGAAAGCCCGGGGCUCAACCCCGGGUCUGCAGUGGGUACGGGCAGACUAGAGUGCAGUAGGGGAGACUGGAAUUCCUGGUGUAGCGGUGAAAUGCGCAGAUAUCAGGAGGAACACCGAUGGCGAAGGCAGGUCUCUGGGCUGUUACUGACGCUGAGGAGCGAAAGCAUGGGGAGCGAACAGGAUUAGAUACCCUGGUAGUCCAUGCCGUAAACGUUGGGCACUAGGUGUGGGGGACAUUCCACGUUUUCCGCGCCGUAGCUAACGCAUUAAGUGCCCCGCCUGGGGAGUACGGCCGCAAGGCUAAAACUCAAAGGAAUUGACGGGGGCCCGCACAAGCGGCGGAGCAUGCGGAUUAAUUCGAUGCAACGCGAAGAACCUUACCAAGGCUUGACAUUCACCGGACCGCCCCAGAGAUGGGGUUUCCCUUCGGGGCUGGUGGACAGGUGGUGCAUGGUUGUCGUCAGCUCGUGUCGUGAGAUGUUGGGUUAAGUCCCGCAACGAGCGCAACCCUCGUUCUAUGUUGCCAGCACGUGAUGGUGGGGACUCAUAGGAGACUGCCGGGGUCAACUCGGAGGAAGGUGGGGAUGACGUCAAAUCAUCAUGCCCCUUAUGUCUUGGGCUUCACGCAUGCUACAAUGGCCGGUACAAAGGGUUGCGAUACUGUGAGGUGGAGCUAAUCCCAAAAAGCCGGUCUCAGUUCGGAUUGAGGUCUGCAACUCGACCUCAUGAAGUCGGAGU